GCCGGCUGGGCUCCCGGUGAGCCGCGCGCGUGCUGCUUCGGCAGCGACACGUAGACGUGGCGCUUAAGUAGAGGACGGAGCAAGUCGGGAAGGCCGCUGGGAGAAUAGCAACAUCCUAACGCAAAAACGGACGGCGGGUCCACGUGCUGGGAAACGCGAACGCUUCGCGUGCGGGUGGAAAGACUCCGCUCCACGGAGUCGUCUCCUGGUGGUCUCUGAGGGCCCUGUGGAGAAGCUGACAAGAUCUGAAGAGACCAACGGGAGCCCAUGGCAGAGCUCCUGUGUGCUUGCUGCAAGCUCAGAGUGCUCAGUCUAUGUGUCACUCCUGAAGGGGUCAGAUCCAUGAGGUUUUCAGAAAUGUGAGGAAUGUGUAUAAGAUCCAUGAUGGAGACCAAAACAACAAAAAACAGAGACAGUGGAGGGACUUGGAAGAUGAAGUUGUAUCAAACAGAUGGAAGCUAAAACGUAAGAAAAAAUGUCACCACCACUGUCUAAGAACAGAAGAAGAUAUUCUCCAGUAGCAAGAAUGAUCUGCUAUUUCUAAAACAGCAGCAUUAGAGAACAAUGAAGGAAGGCCUAGAAAGUAAGGGUAAAACAUAGAAGCUAAAAACUAAUAUAAAAAAGAUGGGAACAUUUCCUAAAGGCUGGUGAAAAGCCAGGUGUAGUGCACACCCAUAAUCCCAGCUCGAAGGGUCAGGAGUUCAAAGCCAGCUUGGACACAUUUAGCAUUCUGGGCCACCCUGGGUUACAAAAGGCCCUGUCUGUCUUAGGUAGGCUUUCUAUGGCUGUGAUAGAACAGCAAAAGCAACCUGUGCUGGGAGCCAAGGCCAGCUAGUGGAAAGUUACAGACAGCUGCAACAAGGUCGUAGGUGAGAGAUUUACGUUUCCAGAACCCAUGAGACAUCUGUGUGUCAGGCUAGACAUUUUGAGAUAUCUUAGCUGACAUUCUUGUAGNAACAAGGUCGUAGGUGAGAGAUUUACGUUUCCAGAACCCAUGAGACAUCUGUGUGUCAGGCUAGACAUUUUGAGAUAUCUUAGCUGACAUUCUUGUAGUAUCUCUUUUAGUAAACAUUCUUGCGGUGUUCUGCAUCAUCAUUAAUCACCCUGUUAUGUUUUGUAAACUAUAUUGCUGACACAUUUUCCCUUCCUGCCUUCUCUCUAUAAAGUUGUGUGAAAUUUUUCAAAUAAAUGAGAGCAAGAUCAGAC
This 1206-nucleotide long non-coding RNA is filed under the name Meriones unguiculatus (Mongolian gerbil). Its description in RNAcentral is "lncRNA (ENSMUGG00000003617.1)". Lineage: Eukaryota; Metazoa; Chordata; Mammalia; Rodentia; Muridae. The record is from RNAcentral.